GCACUUACAGUUACAGAUACAGAAGGCGCAAUCGGAGCACUAAGAUCAUGGGGUGAAGGCACACUGUCAUUACACGAUGGGUAAGGUGCGGAGCUACACUCUAAAGACAGAUUCACUAGAUUCCGACCUUCCCGCUGCUCUGUAUAGUCCUAUUGGAGGGCAAUACAAUACUCUAACGAUUCCUGCCUUGGUUGAUGAUGAAUUACCUUACUCCCUUUCUCCGAGUUGAGGACAUUCAUUGGCUGCGGUGCCAGUUACACGAUCGAACAUCAGGCAGUCACUUCACUAACAACUAGAAUGAUAGCAGAAUGGCUUAAUGAAACUGCCAAGACUAGAGGGAUUGGAAUGAUUGCAAACCCUA
Molecule: long non-coding RNA, 361 nt
Filed under: Nicotiana benthamiana
Lineage: Eukaryota; Viridiplantae; Streptophyta; Magnoliopsida; Solanales; Solanaceae
Description: long non-coding RNA (NBEN_LNC040146)
Source: RNAcentral